CAGCCGUAAACUAUGCGCGUUAGGUGUAUCGGUGACCACGAGUUACCGAGGUGCCGAAGGGAAACCGUGAAACGUGCCGCCUGGGAAGUACGGUCGCAAGGCUGAAACUUAAAGGAAUUGGCGGGGGAGCACCACAACAGGUGGAGCCUGCGGUUUAAUUGGAUUCAACGCCGGACAUCUCACCGGAUAAGACAGCAAUAUGUAGGCCAGGCUGAAGACCUUGCCUGAAUCGCUGAGAGGAGGUGCAUGGCGUAGACGUCU
Molecule: ribosomal RNA, 261 nt
Filed under: uncultured archaeon
Lineage: Archaea
Description: partial 16S ribosomal RNA
Rfam family: Archaeal small subunit ribosomal RNA
Source: RNAcentral